GUCCCUGUAGCUCAAUGGUUAGAGCGCUGGCCCUGUGCACCAUGGGGUGGUGGGUUCGAACCCAGCCAGGGCCU
RNAcentral lists this transfer RNA (74 nucleotides) under Otolemur garnettii (small-eared galago). It matches the Rfam family "tRNA". From Rfam's summary of the family: Transfer RNA (tRNA) molecules are approximately 80 nucleotides in length. Their secondary structure includes four short double-helical elements and three loops (D, anti-codon, and T loops). Further hydrogen bonds mediate the characteristic L-shaped molecular structure. tRNAs have two regions of fundamental functional importance: the anti-codon, which is responsible for specific mRNA codon recognition, and the 3' end, to which the tRNAs corresponding amino acid is attached (by aminoacyl-tRNA synthetases). tRNAs cope with the degeneracy of the genetic code in two manners: having more than one tRNA (with a specific anti-codon) for a particular amino acid; and 'wobble' base-pairing, i.e. permitting non-standard base-pairing at the 3rd anti-codon position. The record is from Rfam by way of RNAcentral. Lineage: Eukaryota; Metazoa; Chordata; Mammalia; Primates; Galagidae.